This is a non-coding RNA of Crucibulum laeve, 109 nucleotides long. NCBI's taxonomy places the organism in Eukaryota, Fungi, Basidiomycota, Agaricomycetes, Agaricales, Nidulariaceae. The record is from the annotation of a GenBank genome assembly.
GCCCGCCUAGCUCAAUCGGAUAGAGCGUCAGACUUUUAAGGCGGAUUAUUUGAUUCCGUUGAACAUUCAGUACAUCUGAAGGCUGCGGGUUCGACCCCCGCGGUGGGCU